CAGCAGCCGCGGUAAUGCGAAGGGUGCAAGCGUUAAUCGGAAUUACUGGGCGUAAAGCGUGCGUAGGCGGUGAGUUAAGUCUGCUGUGAAAUCCCCGGGCUCAACCUGGGAAUGGCAGUGGAUACUGGCUCGCUAGAGUGUGUCAGAGGAUGGUGGAAUUCCCGGUGUAGCGGUGAAACGCGUAGAGAUCGGGAGGAACACCGAUGGCGAAGGCAGCCCCCUGGGCCAAUACUGACGCUCAUGCACGAAAGCGUGGGGAGCAAACAGGAUUAGAUACCCGUGUAGUCCCUGUCUCUUAUAC
Molecule: ribosomal RNA, 301 nt
Filed under: uncultured bacterium
Lineage: Bacteria
Description: partial 16S ribosomal RNA
Rfam family: Bacterial small subunit ribosomal RNA
Source: RNAcentral